This 81-nucleotide small RNA is filed under the name Pasteurella bettyae CCUG 2042. Its description in RNAcentral is "isrK Hfq binding RNA". It matches the Rfam family "isrK Hfq binding RNA". The record is from Rfam by way of RNAcentral. Lineage: Bacteria; Pseudomonadati; Pseudomonadota; Gammaproteobacteria; Pasteurellales; Pasteurellaceae.
GCAGUCGCAAAAAACGACUGCCGAGCCUCGAAACUCGACUUAUUUACAAUUGGCGCAGAGCACGCCUAAAGCGUGUUUUUU